UACGUAGGGUGCGAGCGUUGUCCGGAAUUAUUGGGCGUAAAGAGCUCGUAGGCGGUUUGUCGCGUCGGCCGUGAAAACUUGGGGCUUAACUCCAAGCUUGCGGUCGAUACGGGCAGACUUGAGUUCGGCAGGGGAGACUGGAAUUCCUGGUGUAGCGGUGAAAUGCGCAGAUAUCAGGAGGAACACCGGUGGCGAAGGCGGGUCUCUGGGCCGACACUGACGCUGAGGCGCGAAAGCUAGGGGAGCAAACGGG
This 253-nucleotide ribosomal RNA is filed under the name uncultured bacterium. RNAcentral's name for it is "partial 16S ribosomal RNA". It matches the Rfam family "Bacterial small subunit ribosomal RNA", at positions 524 to 776 of the family's 1533-position model. The record is from RNAcentral.